GACGAACGCUGGCGGCGUGCUUAACACAUGCAAGUCGAACGGAAAGGCCCUGCUUUUGUGGGGUGCUCGAGUGGCGAACGGGUGAGCAACACGUGAGUAACCUGCCCUUGACUUUGGGAUAACUUCAGGAAACUGGGGCUAAUACCGGAUAGGAGCUCCUGCUGCAUGGUGGGGGUUGGAAAGUUUCGGCGGUUGGGGAUGGACUCGCGGCUUAUCAGCUUGUUGGUGGGGUAGUGGCUUACCAAGGCUUUGACGGGUAGCCGGCCUGAGAGGGUGACCGGCCACAUUGGGACUGAGAUACAGCCCAGACUCCUACGGGAGGCAGCAGUGGGGAAUAUUGCACAAUGGGCGGAAGCCUGAUGCAGCAACGCCGCGUGCGGGAUGACGGCCUUCGGGUUGUAAACCGCUUUCGCCUGUGACGAAGCGUGAGUGACGGUAAUGGGUAAAGAAGCACCGGCUAACUACGUGCCAGCAGCCGCGGUGAUACGUAGGGUGCGAGCGUUGUCCGGAUUUAUUGGGCGUAAAGGGCUCGUAGGUGGUUGAUCGCGUCGGAAGUGUAAUCUUGGGGCUUAACCCUGAGCGUGCUUUCGAUACGGGUUGACUUGAGGAAGGUAGGGGAGAAUGGAAUUCCUGGUGGAGCGGUGGAAUGCGCAGAUAUCAGGAGGAACACCAGUGGCGAAGGCGGUUCUCUGGGCCUUUCCUGACGCUGAGGAGCGAAAGCGUGGGGAGCGAACAGGCUUAGAUACCCUGGUAGUCCACGCUGUAAACGGUGGGUACUAGGUGUGGGGUCCAUUCCACGGGUUCCGUGCCGUAGCUAACGCUUUAAGUACCCCGCCUGGGGAGUACGGCCGCAAGGCUAAAACUCAAAGGAAUUGACGGGGCCCCGCACAAGCGGCGGAGCAUGCGGAUUAAUUCGAUGCAACGCGUAGAACCUUACCUGGGUUUGACAUGGAUCGGGAGUGCUCAGAGAUGGGUGUGCCUCUUUUGGGGUCGGUUCACAGGUGGUGCAUGGCUGUCGUCAGCUCGUGUCGUGAGAUGUUGGGUUAAGUCCCGCAACGAGCGCAACCCUUGUUCACUGUUGCCAGCACGUUAUGGUGGGGACUCAGUGGAGACCGCCGGGGUCAACUCGGAGGAAGGUGGGGAUAACGUCAAGUCAUCAUGCCCCUUAUGUCCAGGGCUUCACGCAUGCUACAAUGGCUGGUACAGAGAGUGGCGAGCCUGUGAGGGUGAGCGAAUCUCGGAAAGCCGGUCUCAGUUCGGAUUGGGGUCUGCAACUCGACCUCAUGAAGUCGGAGUCGCUAGUAAUCGCAGAUCAGCAACGCUGCGGUGAAUACGUUCCCGGGGCU
Molecule: ribosomal RNA, 1346 nt
Filed under: uncultured bacterium
Lineage: Bacteria
Description: partial 16S ribosomal RNA
Rfam family: Bacterial small subunit ribosomal RNA
Source: RNAcentral